GACGAAGGUUGCAAGCGUUAUCCGGAUUCAUUGGGUUUAAAGGGAGCGUAGGUGGCCUUAUAAGUCAGUGGUGAAAUCUCUCAGCUUAACUGAGAAAUUGCCAUUGAUACUGUAGGACUUGAGUACAGAUGCCGUUGGCGGAAUAUGACAUGUAGUGGUGAAAUACAUAGAUAUGACAUAGAACACCAAUUGCGAAGGCAGCUUACUACACAGUUAUUGACACUGAGGCACGAAAGCGUGGGGAUCAAACAGG
RNAcentral lists this ribosomal RNA (253 nucleotides) under uncultured bacterium. RNAcentral describes it as "partial 16S ribosomal RNA". It matches the Rfam family "Bacterial small subunit ribosomal RNA", at positions 524 to 776 of the family's 1533-position model. The record is from RNAcentral.